GGAAGAGGUGGUGCGCGGAGCGGGGGGAAGAGGGGGGGGGGUAGAGUUGUUCGGAAGUACUGGGAGGAAAGGGAACGUAGGCGGAACAGAAAGGCAGAGGUGAAAUCCCAGGGCUCAACCUUGGAACUGCCUGUGAAACUCCUGUUCUUGAGGUCGAGAGAGGUGAGUGGAAUUCCGAGUGUAGAGGUGAAAUUCGUAGAUAUUCGGAGGAACACCAGUGGCGAAGGCGGCUCACUGGCUCGAUACUGACGCUGAGGUGCGAAAGCGUGGGGAGCAAACAGGAUUAGAUACCCGUGUAUC
Molecule: ribosomal RNA, 300 nt
Filed under: uncultured Bacillus sp.
Lineage: Bacteria; Bacillati; Bacillota; Bacilli; Caryophanales; Bacillaceae
Description: partial 16S ribosomal RNA
Rfam family: Bacterial small subunit ribosomal RNA (bases 53-300)
Source: RNAcentral